RNAcentral lists this ribosomal RNA (208 nucleotides) under uncultured bacterium. RNAcentral's name for it is "partial 16S ribosomal RNA". It matches the Rfam family "Bacterial small subunit ribosomal RNA", at positions 568 to 774 of the family's 1533-position model. The record is from RNAcentral.
UGCGUAGGCGGCCGAGCAAGUCAGUUGUGAAAACUAUGGGCUUAACCCAUAACGUGCAAUUGAAACUGUCCGGCUUGAGUGAAGUAGAGGUAGGCGGAAUUCCCGGUGUAGCGGUGAAAUGCGUAGAGAUCGGGAGGAACACCAGUGGCGAAGGCGGCCUACUGGGCUUUAACUGACGCUGAGGCACGAAAGCAUGGGUAAGCAAACA